This 466-nucleotide ribosomal RNA is filed under the name uncultured bacterium. RNAcentral's name for it is "partial 16S ribosomal RNA". It matches the Rfam family "Bacterial small subunit ribosomal RNA", at positions 28 to 507 of the family's 1533-position model. The record is from RNAcentral.
GAUGAACGCUGGCGGCGUGCUUAACACAUGCAAGUCGAACGGAAAGGCCCAAGCUUGCUUGGGUACUCGAGUGGCGAACGGGUGAGUAACACGUGGGUGAUCUGCCCUGCACUUCGGGAUAAGCCUGGGAAACUGGGUCUAAUACCGGAUAGGACCACAUUUUGGAUGGUGUGGUGGAAAGUUUUUCGGUGUGGGAUGAGCUCGCGGCCUAUCAGCUUGUUGGUGGGGUAAUGGCCUACCAAGGCGUCGACGGGUAGCCGGCCUGGGAGGGUGUACGGCCACAUUGGGCAUGGGGGACGGGCCAGACUCCGACGGGAGGCAGCAGCGGGGAGUAUUGCACAAAGGGCGCAAGCCUGAUGCAGAGGCGCCGCGUGGGGGAUGACGGCCUUCGGGUUGUAAACUCCGUUCGCUAGGGACGAAGCGUUAUGUGACGGUACCUGGAGAAGAAGCACCGGCUAACUACGUG